CUGCCAUGAUGGCAUUUCUUAGGACACCUUCGGAUUAAAAAUGAAAACAACUGCUCUCUGAGCAGC
RNAcentral lists this small nucleolar RNA (66 nucleotides) under Chinchilla lanigera (long-tailed chinchilla). Its description in RNAcentral is "Small nucleolar RNA SNORD58 (ENSCLAG00000020710.1)". It matches the Rfam family "Small nucleolar RNA SNORD58". From Rfam's summary of the family: snoRNA U58 is found in introns 1, 3 and 6 of the ribosomal protein RPL17 gene in humans. U58 is a member of the C/D class of snoRNA which contain C (UGAUGA) and D (CUGA) box motifs. Lineage: Eukaryota; Metazoa; Chordata; Mammalia; Rodentia; Chinchillidae. The record is from Rfam by way of RNAcentral.